CCUACGGGAGGCAGCAGUGGGGGAUAUUGCACAAUGGGGGGAACCCUGAUGCAGCGACGCCGCGUGGGUGAAGAAGCGCCUCGGCGCGUAAAGCCCUGUCAGCAGGGAAGAAAAUGACGGUACCUGAAGAAGAAGCCCCGGCUAACUACGUGCCAGCAGCCGCGGUAAUACGUAGGGGGCAAGCGUUAUCCGGAUUUACUGGGUGUAAAGGGGGCGCAGACGGCGAUGCAAGCCAGGAGUGAAAGCCCGGGGCCCAACCCCGGGACUGCUCUUGGAACUGCGUGGCUGGAGUGCAGGAGGGGCAGGCGGAGUUCCUGGUGUAGCGGUGGAAUGCGUAGAUAUCAGGAGGAACACCGGUGGCGAAGGCGGCCUGCUGGACUGCAACUGACGUUGAGGCCCGAAAGCGUGGGGAGCAAACAGGAUUAGAUACCCGAGUAGUC
This 440-nucleotide ribosomal RNA is filed under the name uncultured bacterium. RNAcentral's name for it is "partial 16S ribosomal RNA". It matches the Rfam family "Bacterial small subunit ribosomal RNA", at positions 338 to 795 of the family's 1533-position model. The record is from RNAcentral.